GAUGAACGCUGGCGGCGUGCCUAAUACAUGCAAGUCGAGCGAACGGACGAGAAGCUUGCUUUUCUGAUGUUAGCGGCGGACGGGUGAGUAACACGUGGAUAACCUACCUAUAAGACUGGGAUAACUUCGGGAAACCGGAGCUAAUACCGUAUAAUAUUUUGAACCGCAUGGUUCAAAAGUGAAAGACGGUCUUGCUGUCACUUAUAGAUGGAUACGCGCUGCAUUAGCUAGUUGUUAAGGUAACGGCUUACCAAGGCAACGAUGCAUAGCCGACCUGAGAGGGGGAUCGGCCACACUAGAACUGGAACACGGUCCAGACUACUAAGGGAGGCAGCAGUAGGGAAUCUUCCGCAAUGGGCGAAAACAUGACGGAGCAACGCCGCGUGAGUGAUGGAGAUCUUCGGAUCGUAAAACUCUGUUAUUAGGGAAGAACAUAUGUGUACGUAACUGUGCACAUCUUGACGGUACCUACUCAGAAAGCCACGGCUAACUACGUG
This 497-nucleotide ribosomal RNA is filed under the name uncultured bacterium. RNAcentral describes it as "partial 16S ribosomal RNA". It matches the Rfam family "Bacterial small subunit ribosomal RNA", at positions 28 to 507 of the family's 1533-position model. The record is from RNAcentral.